RNAcentral lists this ribosomal RNA (199 nucleotides) under uncultured bacterium. RNAcentral describes it as "partial 16S ribosomal RNA". It matches the Rfam family "Bacterial small subunit ribosomal RNA", at positions 1294 to 1500 of the family's 1533-position model. The record is from RNAcentral.
CGGAUCGGAGUCUGCAACCCGACUCCGUGAAGCUGGAUUCGCUAGUAAUCGCGCAUCAGCCAUGGCGCGGUGAAUACGUUCCCGGGCCUUGUACACACCACCCGUCAAGCCAUGGGAGCCGGGAGUGCCUGAAGGCCGUGACCGCAAGGAGCGGCCUAAGGUAAAACUGGUGACUGGGGCUAAGUCGUAACAAGGUACC